GACGAACGCUGGCGGCGUGCCUAAUACAUGCAAGUCGAACGAGUGGCGGACGGGUGAGUAAUGUCUGGGAAACUGCCUGAUGGAGGGGGAUAACUACUGGAAACGGUAGCUAAUACCGCAUACCAUCAGAUGUGCCCAGAUGGGAUUAGCUAGUAGGUGGGGUAACGGCUCACCUAGGCGACGAUCCCUAGCUGGUCUGAGAGGAUGACCAGCCAGACUGGAACAGAGACAGGGUCCAGCCUCCGACGGUAGGCAGCAGUGGGGAAUAUUGCACAAUGGGCGCAAGCCUGAUGCAGCCAUGCCGGGGGUAUGAAGAAGGCCUUCGGGGUGGAAAGUACUUUCAGCGGGGAUGCGGUACCCGCAGAAGAAGCACCGGCUAACGCCGUGCCAGCAGCCGCGGUAAUAC
RNAcentral lists this ribosomal RNA (406 nucleotides) under uncultured bacterium. Its description in RNAcentral is "partial 16S ribosomal RNA". It matches the Rfam family "Bacterial small subunit ribosomal RNA", at positions 28 to 526 of the family's 1533-position model. The record is from RNAcentral.